This 677-nucleotide unclassified non-coding RNA is filed under the name Melitaea cinxia (Glanville fritillary). RNAcentral's name for it is "misc RNA ENSMCXG00005007362.1". Lineage: Eukaryota; Metazoa; Arthropoda; Insecta; Lepidoptera; Nymphalidae. The record is from RNAcentral.
CGCGCUGGCCGCGUGUGGCGCGCUGCUGGCACUGGAGAGGCUGGCGCACGUCGGCGAGGCGCUGCCGCCCGCCCUACUGCCCCCCGCCCGCGUGCGGGACGUACUCGCGCGCAGGUCAGUGCCCCGCCCGCUCACCUCUCUCCGCACUAUCUCACACUACACUGUCCUCUAACGCUGGAGAGGCUGGCGCACGUCGGCGAGGCGCUGCCGCCCGCCCUACUGCCCCCCGCCCGCGUGCGGGACGUACUCGCGCGCAGGUCAGUGCCCCGCCCGCUCACCUCUCUCCGCACUAUCUCACACUACACUGUCCUCUAACGCUGGAGAGGCUGGCGCACGUCGGCGAGGCGCUGCCGCCCGCCCUACUGCCCCCCGCCCGCGUGCGGGACGUACUCGCGCGCAGGUCAGUGCCCCGCCCGCUCACCUCUCUCCGCACUAUCUCACACUACACUGUCCUCUAACGCUGGAGAGGCUGGCGCACGUCGGCGAGGCGCUGCCGCCCGCCCUACUGCCCCCCGCCCGCGUGCGGGACGUACUCGCGCGCAGAACGGACUUCAAACUUGAAGACAUUAAGCGACUAAAGCUGUAGAAAUGUCAAUAAUUUUAUUUAAAAAACUCGAUAUAUAUUGUAUAUCUAUAUUGUAAACAUUGUGGCAAUAAAUAUGUAGUAACCUAAAAAU